AUGAAAGCUGACUGCGUUGUUUUUAGGAAAGAUCUAUGGUACCACCUCAACUUCUCGGCUCGCCGGAGGGACGACCACGACGAGGAGCAGAGCUUCUUUGCCGAACUGCGCUAUGACCAAUGUUCCGACGACCUGAUCGUCCAUAUAUGCACCAUCUUAGAAAAGCGGGUAUGUCGCUUCAGAAGCAGUUGUGCAUUCUGUCCGGACGAAUCCAAGAUUUUUCAUCCAAGCAAUGCAGAAAUUGGCUGCGGAAAGGAGGGGCAUGAAAUGGAAAUUUUUCGUGAGAGGCGUCGAAUCAACGGACAUACGAAUGAGUUCUUCAGCAAGAGCGAUAUGCUGAGCAUACCCUUCUUGCAAGGAGGACGCCUACCUCGAUAUAGACACAGUCUACAAUGA
Molecule: ribosomal RNA, 396 nt
Filed under: Triticum aestivum (bread wheat)
Lineage: Eukaryota; Viridiplantae; Streptophyta; Magnoliopsida; Poales; Poaceae
Description: partial small subunit ribosomal RNA
Source: RNAcentral